CCUACGGGAGGCAGCAGUGGGGAAUCUUGCGCAAUGGGCGAAAGCCUGACGCAGCAACGCCGCGUGCGGGAAGAAGGCCUUAGGGUUGUAAACCGCUUUCAGUAGGAACGAAAAUGACGGUACCUGCAGAAGAAGGUGCGGCCAACUACGUGCCAGCAGCCGCGGUGACACGUAGGCACCAAGCGUUGUCCGGAUUUAUUGGGCGUAAAGAGCUCGUAGGCGGUUCAGUAAGUCGGGUGUGAAAACUCUGGGCUUAACCCAGAGCCGCCACUCGAUACUGCUGUGACUUGAGUUCGGUAGGGGAGCAGGGAAUUCCUAGUGUAGCGGUGAAAUGCGCAGAUAUUAGGAGGAACACCGGUGGCGAAGGCGCUGCUCUGGGCCGAUACUGACGCUGAGGAGCGAAAGCGUGGGUAGCAAACAGGAUUAGAUACCCUGGUAGUCCACGCCGUAAACGUUGGGCACUAGGUGUGGGUUCCAACCAACGGAAUCCGCGCCGUCGCUAACGCAUUAAGUGCCCGCCUGGGGAGUACGGCGGCAACGCUAAACCUUAAAGGAAUUGACGGCNGAGACGNGCGAGCGACGACGAGGGAGAG
This 593-nucleotide ribosomal RNA is filed under the name uncultured bacterium. Its description in RNAcentral is "bacterial SSU rRNA". It matches the Rfam family "Bacterial small subunit ribosomal RNA", at positions 338 to 945 of the family's 1533-position model. The record is from RNAcentral.